This 459-nucleotide ribosomal RNA is filed under the name uncultured bacterium. RNAcentral describes it as "partial 16S ribosomal RNA". It matches the Rfam family "Bacterial small subunit ribosomal RNA", at positions 338 to 795 of the family's 1533-position model. The record is from RNAcentral.
CCUACGGGCGGCAGCAGUGAGGAAUAUUGGUCAAUGGGCGAGAGCCUGAACCAGCCAAGUCGCGUGAGGGAGUACUGCCCUAUGGGUUGUAAACCUCUUUUGUCGGGGAGCAAAAGCCGGACGUGUCCGGCUGUGAGAGUACCCGAACAAAAAGCAUCGGCUAACUCCGUGCCAGCAGCCGCGGUAAUACGGAGGAUCCAAGCGUUAUCCGGAUUUAUUGGGUUUAAAGGGUGCGUAGGCGGUUUGAUAAGUUAGAGGUGAAAUACCGGUGCUCAACACCGGAACUGCCUCUGAUACUGUUGUACUAGAGAGUAGUUGCGGUAGGCGGAAUGUAUGGUGUAGCGGUGAAAUGCUUAGAGAUCAUACAGAACACCGAUUGCGAAGGCAGCUUACCAAACUAUAACUGACGUUGAGGCACGAAAGCGUGGGUAGCAAACAGGAUUAGAUACCCUUGUAGUC